CCUACGGGUGGCUGCAGUCGAGAAUAAUUCACAAUGGGGGAAACCCUGAUGGUGCGACGCCGCGUGGGGGAAUGAAGGUCUUCGGAUUGUAAACCCCUGUCAUGUGGGAGCAAAUUAAAAAGAUAGUACCACAAGAGGCAGAGACGGCUAACUCUGUGCCAGCAGCCGCGGUAAUACAGAGGUCUCAAGCGUUGUUCGGAAUCACUGGGUGUAAAGCGUGCGUCGGCUGUUUCGGAAGGCGUGUGUGAAAGGCGCGGGCUAAACCCGCGGAUGGCACAUGAUACGGGUAGACAAGAGUAAAGAAGGGGGAACCGGAAGUCUCGGGGGAGCAGGGAAAGGCGGAGUA
RNAcentral lists this ribosomal RNA (346 nucleotides) under uncultured bacterium. RNAcentral describes it as "partial 16S ribosomal RNA". It matches the Rfam family "Bacterial small subunit ribosomal RNA", at positions 338 to 695 of the family's 1533-position model. The record is from RNAcentral.